This 77-nucleotide transfer RNA is filed under the name Candidatus Altarchaeales archaeon. RNAcentral describes it as "tRNA-Lys". It matches the Rfam family "tRNA". Rfam says of the family: Transfer RNA (tRNA) molecules are approximately 80 nucleotides in length. Their secondary structure includes four short double-helical elements and three loops (D, anti-codon, and T loops). The record is from RNAcentral. Lineage: Archaea; Nanobdellati; Candidatus Altarchaeota; Candidatus Altarchaeia; Candidatus Altarchaeales.
GGGCUCGUAGCUCAACUAGGCAGAGCGGCCGGCUUUUAACCGGCGGGUUGUAGGUUCGAUUCCUACCGGGCCCACCA